CUUUCAAGCCACGGGAUGCAGAUAUUGUUGCGAUUCACUUCUUUGCUACUGAAUGCAAUGCGUCCAAAAUUUUUUACUAAAAAUAGCUACCACUUUUUAAUUGCCAAUGUGAAAAACAAAUCACCUAUUAUAUUAAUAUUACCAAUUUAGGAGGCAACUCUUUUGUACAAAUCGAACCUUUCAGCGCUACUGGCCGAACACAAUAUCUUUUUAACACAAAUGCCUUUGAAUGUUUUGCACUUUCUUCUUUUUCAACUUUUCAGUCGUGCAACGCAAUGCUAGACACGAAGGAAUUCGCUGCCAAAGAGGAAUUCGGAAUAAUUAGAAAAUGGAUUUUUCACGUCGUUCGUUCGCUUGUCGUUCGCCCGCCAUUAUAGAACUGCCAGAUGUAAUAAAUAGAAAUGCAUUUAUUUGGAUACGAAAAUACUAUAGGACUACAUAGUGUAUUUACUAUUUAUGGCGUAAGAAUAUAAAUCUAUUUUCCUUUUUAUUUAUAGAUAAUAUAUUUAAAUGAUAUUUGCGCCAA
This is a non-coding RNA of Bactrocera oleae (olive fruit fly), 526 nucleotides long. The record is from RefSeq and is a predicted model, not a curated record. Lineage: Eukaryota; Metazoa; Arthropoda; Insecta; Diptera; Tephritidae.